CCCGGAGGUAGCAGGACCCAGGGUUCUUUGGAAGCCCGCGGGCAGAGCCCCAGAGCUCUCACGUUCGGCACCUCGUCCCCCUUUCGCCGUGGGCUCUGUCUUGCACUGAAGCCCGAAGUACUCUGGCCUUUAGGCGGCUGAUUUAGAGGCCGAAGGCGUGGCCACGCGACAGAUCCUGCACCUGUCGAGACUGGGGCACGUUCUCAAAACUUCGGAAUCUUCUUCAGUGGAAAGUUUCCUAGGGCGCGAUUUCUGAGUAGGACCACUCCUUCCGAAGGGAUGGAUACCCAGAGACGUUGGCUUCCUAAAGAGUUUGCAUUCACUCUGCCAAGUGUGCGCUCCUGGAAAGCCUGCAAAUUCUUUCUCAAAAUGAUAUCUCCCCCGCCCCCUUAAGUGUCCCGAAUCCCUGGUGCUUUCAGGAAGAACACGGGUGGAUGGGGUUGUUACCCUCGAAUCAGGAUCCCAGCGCAAGCGAUUGGAACUCGAGGACCCUCUGCGCUCCACAGUACCAGUGGCCGUUGAGCGCGCGGCAGUCCAACCGUCAGCAUGAAAAACCGUGAGGCCCCAACGUCCACCAGGAAAGGAGGAUUCAUGUCUAGUUUUUUUUCUGGCGUUAGGGUCACACGGCCCAAGCUUCGGUUUACUCACGGAAACGUUACCGAUUUCUCUUAAAGCGCAGCGAUCCUGAAGUGCCUACGGGAGGCUAAACACUACGCGUCUGCAGCCUGAACCAGGCGCAUCCGCGAGGGUGGUCCCCGCGAGUCGCCGUGUGAGGGAGCUGCUGAUAAACUGGCCACGCGAUGUCCCGACCCUGUGCUGAGUUCCGUGCUAAUGCAUUAUGUAAAUGCUUAAAUUCCGCGGACAAAGGCCACAAUGGAGAGCCUCAGUUGGCUCCACAAAGCCGCCUAGCUCGGGGCUAAUAGGUUUAAUCAGAGAGAAGAUUGUCGGCUUGCCUGGGGGAGGGCGUUCACUGCGGAUGAUGGAUGAAGGGACAUUCAUUUUACCUGGAAGAUGAAGGGGGCUUUGGAGACCAGAUGGGAAGGAGACCGGCUUCCCAUUAUCCUCCUCCGAGGCCACCUCUUACCCACCCCUCUCCGUCUGCUUUUAGUGAUCUGUCUCUUGGCAGUGACUUUUGUUCGUUACACAAACCACUGCGAAUCCCAUUAUGGUGUCAGGAAAAAAAGAAGAAACUUGUACAAACGAAUCAAAGGAAGAAGGCACACAGAAAUACAACCAGGAUUGGGAUGCCGUCCUCUCCCUAAUGGAACAUAGAACCUGGUGGAUGGAAGAGAAGAAAAAAGCAUAUGCUCAAGAUUCUGAAGAAGUAAGCUUUCAAACUUACCAGUUGGGAAUGACAAGUAGUCUGCGGAGGAGCCUCCAGGUUUGAGUGAACAGGGAAAUUCAUGGAAGUUACUAGUAUUUAAUAGAUUGAUAGAAUAACAAUAGGUCAUUUGCUUCUGUUGUGAACCUUAAUGAAAAAUGAUUUUUUUUAAAUUUAAUUCUUUUUGGAGCACUUAUCUAUAGAAAAUUUUACAUAUAGGUUGCUAGGACCUUGCUCUUUCCCCUCCCCCAUCUUAUAAUUUGUUAAGUAACAACAGAUCCUCCCUUAGUGAUGUCAAUAUUUAGUGUUGAAUUAUGAAUAUGGUGAGGAGCUAGUUAGGGAAUCAAAUUAAUAAUAGUAGCGAAAUCAUGCUUUCAGAGUAAUUCAUUAAAUUUUUCAGUCAUAUUUUUAUUUUAUGAAAUCUUGUAUUUACUAUAGAAUAGAAAAAUAUUUACAGCUAACUAAAAGUGGCCUAAUGUUCCCUGUACUAAAAUGCAAAAAUAACUGUAUAUAUAAAACUCAAACUUAAUUCAAGUUCCAAGUGUUAAUCACUGUACUAUUCACUUUUAAAAACUCUUUCCUACUGAGAACACAUUGAUUUAUUUUUUGUAUCUCCAAAUUUAGUAUGUAAAUCCUAUGAAUGUGUUAAAAGUUAUCUGGAAAAGCUAAAAGCGACACUAUUAUCUAAUCUCCAGGCUUAUUCAGAAUAUUAGCCAAUUGUUCAAGUAAUGUCCUUUAUAGCAAAAGAAAAUUCCAGAUCAUGAAUUGCAAUCAGUUGUUUAUGUAUUGUUGAUCUUUUUAAAUCUAGAACAAUUCUUUAGUCUCUUUUUUCAUGACAUUGACAUUUAGAGGAAUAUGGCCCUUCUGUUUUGUUUGUCCAUCCAAUGUUUCCUCAUGAUUAGAUCCAGAUUGUGCAAUUUGGGGGCAAGAAAUGGAAAUUAUGCAUUUCCCUUUCAACACACCAUAUUAGUAACCACAUGAUGUUGAUUUGAUAGUGAUAUCUGGAAUCUUAGGAGAUCACCAGCCAGGUCCUGCUGAUAAACAUUGACUACCAUUACUCAAGCUGCGGUUUGAGUUUCUUUUGUUGAAUAUACAGUUCUAGUUUUUGUCUCAUCUUUGCUUCUACAUACUAUUGAAUAAGAUAUCCAGUUAUAGACUUACCUCUCCUUCCUAGAACCAAUUGCUGCUGCCUCCCCAAAUAACCUAACACCUGCCCAAAUUCUACAAGUCCUUUUAACUAUCUUUUACUGGGACACCCCAUUGUUUAUUGUGGUGUUUAUUCCUCCUCACUGAAAAAUUUCAUAAACUUGGCUUGUUCAAUUACAUAUGUGUUCUUGAGGGACUUGGGCUGCAAGGUAUUGACACUACCCAUGGUGAUGUUGACCAAUUAGUUAACUAAUUGACCUGUCCCAGGUUUGUCCACUGAAAAAUUAUUAUUUUCCUUUUGUAAUGAAUAUGCAUCCUGUAGGGAAACACUUGGACAAUGUAUAUAUGCUGAUACUCCUCCAAUUUUCUACCAUUGGUUUUAGCUCCCAUGGAUGAUUCUUGCCUGAUCCAGCUAUUACUAUGAUAGUUACCAUAUGGCAAUUUGGCUGUUCUCAGCAUUCUUUCUAUAGCAGUGAAUUAUAUCUCUAUCACCAGGAAAAGCUUUCCAUUCUCCUCUGCUUCUUAACAUUGUUGUGGAUUUCACCAUAUUCUUACUUUAUCCAGUGGAUGGCAAUCCAGUGACAUUAUAUUUAUCUUAUGAUCAAAUUGUUACAAAUUUGUACCAAGGGAGCUCCUUCAAGCUGGCCCAGGUGUUGUUUUGAUUUUUCAUCAUUGUUUUUUUGAGGACUCUUGCUGACACAAGAUAUUGCAGACUCAUCUUUUUCUUUCUCAGUUCCAAUUCUACCAGCAACCAUUUCUUCAUGCAGUCCUUUUUCCUUUUAGUGUAGGAUUAUAUUUAGAAAUAAAAAUCUAGGUACAUUGUAUGUACAGUAUUACCAGGUGCCAUUGCUUCUAGGCCUUCUCAGCAGACAGAGGAGGAAGUAGCUAUUGGUAAAUAUAUACACACACAUACAUAAUAAUAUGUUCAUUAUGUUUUGAUGAAUAUGUUGUAUUAAUCAUAAACAUAACUUAUUUACAAAAACUACAGGAUGCAUGAUUUUUUCCCCUCAAACUUUUUAUCUACAAGGAGUCUUUGAUUUUAUUCCCUACUGUUCAAUUCUACUUAGUACCAAAUAUGCUUAUUAUUACUCAAAUGAAUAAAGAGCAAUUUAAGAGCAAUUCCUAAAUAUUUUAAGCAUAAAUUAAUUUUAAAUAAGAGAACUGCCCUACGUUACAAUUUCCUAUAUAAACUGAUGAUUCUUCAUAAAAACUUGGCCCAGAUUUUUCUUUUAUAUAUAUAACCAGUUGGAGGUAGGCUCAAUUAGGAGACUGAAAGUUGUAUGAGAGGUAUU
Molecule: non-coding RNA, 3759 nt
Organism: Ictidomys tridecemlineatus (thirteen-lined ground squirrel)
Lineage: Eukaryota; Metazoa; Chordata; Mammalia; Rodentia; Sciuridae
Source: RefSeq, a predicted model, not a curated record